UUUUUCUAUCUAUAUGUUCUUAGAGCAGAGAACCACAUCACAUAGGGACUGGUGUUGCCUUCAUUGGAAUCCUUCUCAACUUUGCUCUUCAGUCUUGUGAUGUCUUUCGCUCUUUGGUCUUUCAAUUUUGCUUUUGGCGAACAGCACCAACUCCCAUUGGGGAGUCUCCUAAUGGCUUGUGGAGUUUCCUUUCUUCUUCUCUUUACCAAUUGGGAUUAUUCAACAAGGCGCAACAAACAUGCAAACCAAGAUUGAAUGUCAGUGUUUACAGAGUUGAUCAUUUGCUACAUAUACCUUGGGUGACUUCAAACUAUACAGGUCCUUACAUGAAGAUUUGUACCAAAUCCAUGUUCCUUGUUCAGCUAGUUGGCACAAUUAUUGGCCAAGUUUCUACUUUGCCAUGGCAUAUAUGGUGGUUACUGAAGGAAAUUGAUUCCGUG
Molecule: long non-coding RNA, 440 nt
Organism: Humulus lupulus (European hop)
Lineage: Eukaryota; Viridiplantae; Streptophyta; Magnoliopsida; Rosales; Cannabaceae
Exons: 3
Source: RefSeq, a predicted model, not a curated record